This is a non-coding RNA of Zingiber officinale, 76 nucleotides long. The record is from the annotation of a RefSeq genome assembly. Lineage: Eukaryota; Viridiplantae; Streptophyta; Magnoliopsida; Zingiberales; Zingiberaceae.
UCCUCAGUAGCUCAGUGGUAGAGCGGUCGGCUGUUAAUGGUAUUUCUGGUCGUAGGUUCGAAUCCUACUUGGGGAG